Molecule: transfer RNA, 72 nt
Filed under: Candidatus Taylorbacteria bacterium RIFCSPHIGHO2_01_FULL_43_47
Lineage: Bacteria; Candidatus Tayloriibacteriota
Also listed under: 2 other names
Description: tRNA-Ile
Rfam family: tRNA
About the family: Transfer RNA (tRNA) molecules are approximately 80 nucleotides in length. Their secondary structure includes four short double-helical elements and three loops (D, anti-codon, and T loops). Further hydrogen bonds mediate the characteristic L-shaped molecular structure. tRNAs have two regions of fundamental functional importance: the anti-codon, which is responsible for specific mRNA codon recognition, and the 3' end, to which the tRNAs corresponding amino acid is attached (by aminoacyl-tRNA synthetases). tRNAs cope with the degeneracy of the genetic code in two manners: having more than one tRNA (with a specific anti-codon) for a particular amino acid; and 'wobble' base-pairing, i.e. permitting non-standard base-pairing at the 3rd anti-codon position.
Source: RNAcentral
GCGCGCGUAGCUCAAUGGUAGAGCAUUCCGCUUAUACCGGAACGGUUCUAGGUUCAAGUCCUAGCGCGCGCA